ACCGUUCAUGGUUCUAUGGUGUAGUGGUUAGCACUCUGGACUUUGAAUCCAGCGACCUGGGUUCGACUCCCGGUAGGACCUU
This 82-nucleotide transfer RNA is filed under the name Rosa chinensis. RNAcentral describes it as "tRNA RchiOBHm_Chr3g0461471". The stretch from base 10 to 81 matches the Rfam family "tRNA". From Rfam's summary of the family: Transfer RNA (tRNA) molecules are approximately 80 nucleotides in length. Their secondary structure includes four short double-helical elements and three loops (D, anti-codon, and T loops). The record is from RNAcentral. Lineage: Eukaryota; Viridiplantae; Streptophyta; Magnoliopsida; Rosales; Rosaceae.